RNAcentral lists this ribosomal RNA (806 nucleotides) under uncultured Acidobacteriota bacterium. RNAcentral describes it as "bacterial SSU rRNA". It matches the Rfam family "Bacterial small subunit ribosomal RNA", at positions 8 to 796 of the family's 1533-position model. The record is from RNAcentral. Lineage: Bacteria; Pseudomonadati; Acidobacteriota.
AGAGUUUGAUCCUGGCUCAGAAUCAACGCUGGCGGCGUGCCUCAGACAUGCAAGUCGAACGAGAACCUCCCUUCGGGGAGGGGACAGUGGCGCACGGGUGAGUAACACGUGGGUAAUUUACCUUUGGGUGGGGAACAACAGCCGGAAACGGCUGCUAAUACCGCAUAAUGCAGCGGCUCGACAUCGAGACAGUUGUUAAAGCGGGGGAUCUUCGGACCUCGCGCCUAAAGAGAAGCCCGCGGCAGAUUAGCUAGUUGGUAGGGUAAUGGCCUACCAAGGCAACGAUCUGUAACCGGCCUGAGAGGGCGGUCGGUCACACUGACACUGACAUACGGGUCAGACUCCUACGGGAGGCAGCAGUCGGGAAUUUUGGGCAAUGGGCGAAAGCCUGACCCAGCAACGCCGCGUGAAGGAUGAAGCUUUUCGGAGUGUAAACUUCACAAGAAUGGGAAGAAUAAGUGUGGGAUAAUACCCCGCACGAUGACGGUACCAUUUGUAAGCUCCGGCUAACUCCGUGCCAGCAGCCGCGGUAAUACGGGGGGAGCAAGCGUUGUUCGGAUUUACUGGGCGUAAAGGGCGCGUAGGCGGCGCGACAAGUCACUUGUGAAAUCUCUGAGCUCAACUCAGAACGGUCAAGUGAUACUGUCGUGCUAGAGUGCGGAAGGGGCAACUGGAAUUCUUGGUGUAGCGGUGAAAUGCGUAGAUAUCAAGAGGAACACCUGCGGCGAAGGCGGGUUGCUGGGCCGACACUGACGCUGAGGCGCGAAAGCUAGGGGAGCGAACGGGAUUAGAUACCCCAGUAGUCC